This is a long non-coding RNA of Equus asinus (donkey), 2067 nucleotides long. NCBI's taxonomy places the organism in Eukaryota, Metazoa, Chordata, Mammalia, Perissodactyla, Equidae. The record is from Ensembl.
CAAGAUGCUUUGGGGCCUCUCUGCCCCUUUGGAAACAAGGCAGCACCUUGGGCCUGGCAGCUCUAGGGCAAUGGAGCACACCCAGAGCAGAAGUUCUACUUCAGCCAGAUCAGGCCUGCCAAGAAACUGCGUUUCACAGGCCUUUCAAAGAGAUGUUCUCUUAGGCUGUAAUAGCACGGGGCAGAGCCAGCUGUUUCUUAGCUUCCCGAAGAGCUGGGAGCAUGAUACUUUGGGGACCCUUUCCCCUUUUGGAAACAAGGCCGCCCUUGGGGCCUUGCAGCUGUAGGCCAAUGUAGCACACACAGAGCAGAAUUUCUACUUCAGCCAAAUCAGGCCUGCUAGGAAACUGCGUAUCACAGGAGUUGGUAAGAGAUGUUCAUGGUAGGCUGUAAGAGCACUGGGCAGAGCCAGCUGUUUCUUAGCUUCCCGAAGAGCUGGAAGGAAGAUGCUUUGGGGCCUCUCUGCCCCUUUCCAAACAAGGCAGCCCUUUGGGCCCGGCAGAUCUAGGCCAAUGGAGCACACCCAGAGCAGAAUUUCUACUUCAGCCCAUCAGGCCUGCUAGGAAACUGCGUAUCACGGGCCUUGGUAAGAGAUGUUCCCGGUAGGCUGUAAGAGCACUGGGCACAGCCAGUUGUUUCUUAGCUUCCCGAACAGCUGGAAGCAGGAUGCUUUGGGACCUCUCUGCCCCUUUGCAAACAAGGCGGCCUUUUGGGCCUGGCAGCUCAAGGACGAUGGAGCACACCCAGAGCAGAAGUUCUACUUCAGCCAGGUCAGGCCUGCCAAGAAACUGCGUUUCACAGGCCUUUGUAAAAGAUGUUCCCGGUAGGCUGUAAGAGCACUGGGCAGAGCCAGUUGUUUCUUACAUUCCUGAAAAGCUGGAAGCAAGAUGCUUGGGACCCCUCUGCCCGUUUGGGAACAAGGCAGCCUUUUGGGUCGGGAAGCUCUAGGCCAAUGGAGCACACGCAGAGCAGAAGUUCUACUUCACCCUGAUCAGGCCUGCAAAGAAACAGCGUUUGACAGGCCUUGGUAAGAGAUGUUCCCGGUAGGUGUAAGAGCACUGGGCAGAGCCAGUUGUUUCUUAGCUUCGCAAAGACCGGGAAGCAAGAUGCUUUGGGCCUUUCUGCCCCUUGGAAACAGGCCAGCACUUUUGCCUGGCAGCUCUAGGGCAAUGGAGCACACCCAGAGCAGAAGUUCUACUUCAGCCAGAUGAGGCCUGCCAAGAAACGGCGUUUCACAGGCCUUGGUAAGAGAUGUUCCCGGUAGGCUGUAAGAGCACUGGGCAGAGCCAGCUGUUUCUUAGCUUCCCAGAGAGCUGGAAGCAAGAUGCUUUGGGGCCUCUCUGCCCCUUUGCAAACAAACAAGCCCUCAGGUCCUUGCUGCUCUAGGCCCAUGUAGCACACCCAGAGCAAAAGUUCUACUUCAGCCAGAUCAGGCCUGCCAAGGAACUGCAUUUCACAGGCCUUGGAAAGAGAUGUUCCCGGUAGGCUGUAAGAGCACCUGGCAGAGCCUGUUGUUUCUUAGGUUCCCAAACAGCUGGAAGCAACAUGCUUUGGGGCCUCUGUCCCCCUUUGGAAACAAUGCAGUCCUUUGGCCUGGCAGCUCUAGGCCUAUGUAGCACAACCAGAGCAGAAGUUCUACUUCAGCCAGGUCAGGCCUGCCAAGAAACUGCGUUUCACAGGCCUUUCAAAGGGAUGUUCUCUUAGGCUGUAAGAGCACUGGGCAGAGCCAGCUGUUUCUUAGUUUCCCGAAGAGCUGGGAGCAACAUUCUUUGGGGACCCUCUCCCCUUUUGGAAACAAGGCCGCCCUUGGGGCCUUGCAGCUCUAGGCCUAUGCAGCACACAGAGAGCAGAAUUUCUACUUCAGCAAAAUCAGGCUUGCUAGGAAACGGCGUAUCACAGGACUUGGUAAGAGAUGUUCAUGGUAGGCAGUAAGAGCACUGGGCAGAGCCUGCUGUUUCUUAGCUUCCCAGAGAGCUGGAAGCAAGAUGCUUUGGGGCCUCUCUCCCCCUUUCAAAACAAGGCAGCACUUUGGUCCUGGCAAAUCUAGGCCAAUGGAGCACACCCAGAG